Punica granatum (pomegranate) is the source of this 3735-nucleotide non-coding RNA. NCBI's taxonomy places the organism in Eukaryota, Viridiplantae, Streptophyta, Magnoliopsida, Myrtales, Lythraceae. The record is from RefSeq and is a predicted model, not a curated record.
CCAAAACCAAAGCCCCGAUUUCCUCUUAACGAAAUUGUUCUCUGAUCACUUGUUAUUGUGGCAGAGCAUGAUCUGGAUUCGGAAUUUAUCCGAUCGAUCACUGUUAUGCCCAUCUAGAGAAGAUCCAUCAAUGUAGUUUGGAAGUUCUUAUUCUCGCAAAUAUGGGCUUACCGACAAACAUUGCAAUUGGUUCUCGUGUGUGGGUUGAAGAUUCAACAGUCGCCUGGAUAGAUGGGGAAGUGUUAAAUAUUAAGAAUGAAGAAGCUGAAAUCGAAACAAGUAAUGGAAAGACGGUUGUUGCCAAUCUGUCAAGACUAUGCCUGAUGGACGUGGACGUCCCUGAAGAUGGAGUCGAUGACAUGACGACACUCUCCUAUUUAGACGAGCCCGGUGUAUUACAUAACCUGGCCACUCGAUUUCAGUUAAAUAAAAUAUAUACCUACACAGGGAACGUUCUCAUUGCUGUCAAUCCAUUCCAAAGAUUAACAAGCUUAUGUGAUGCCCAUCUCAUGGAACGAUAUAAAGGAGCCGAACUCGGACGAAUGAGCCCUCAUGUUUUUGCCAUCGCGGAUAUUUCUUAUAGGGCAAUGAUUGAUGAGAGAAGAAGCAACUCAAUUUUGGUGAGCGGUGAAAGUGGGGCGGGCAAGACCGAAACCACCAAGUUGAUCAUGCAAUACCUAGCCUUCCUAGGUGGGCAUAGCUUUGCGGAAGGGCGUACGGUUGAGCAACAAAUAUUAGAAUCCAAUCCUGUCCUUGAAGCAUUUGGGAAUGCAAAGACCGUGAGAAACAAUAAUUCCAGCCGCUUUGGUAAAUUUGUCGAAAUCCAGUUUGAUAAUCAUGGAAGAAUAUCCGGGGCAGCGAUACGAACUUAUCUUCUGGAGAGAUCUCGUGUUUGUCAAAUUUCAGACCGGGAGCGCAAUUACCAUUGCUUCUACCUCCUUUGUUCAGCCCCUGCCGAGGAAAUUGAAGCAUACAAAUUGGGAGAUCCGAGAUCAUUUCAUUAUCUCAAUCAGUCAAGCUGCUACGAGCUAGAUGACGUGAAUGACGCUCAGGAGUACCUCGCCACAAGAAGAGCUAUGGAUGUAGUUGGCAUAAAUGAAAAUGACCAGGAAGCAAUUUUUCGAGUUGUAGCUGCCAUCCUUCACCUUGGGAACAUAGACUUUGCUAAGGGAGAGGAGAUAGACACUUCAGUUAUAAGAGAUGAACGGUCCAUGUUCCAUCUUGAGAUGACUGCAAGACUUCUCAUGUGUGAGUCUCAUGCACUGGAAGAUGCAUUAUGUAAGAGGGUCAUGAUCACCCCAGAAGAGAUUAUUAAAAGAAGUCUUGAUCCAUUGGGUGCCACAAUUAGCCGGGACGGUUUGGCCAAGACCAUAUACUCUCGUUUAUUCGAUUGGUUGGUGGAUAAGAUAAAUCACUCCAUCGGACAAGAUUCUAAUUCUCGAUUUCUAAUUGGGGUCCUCGACAUUUACGGGUUUGAGAGCUUCAAGUCCAAUAGUUUUGAGCAAUUUUGCAUAAACUACACAAAUGAGAAGUUGCAACAACAUUUCAACCAGCAUGUUUUCAAGAUGGAGCAGGACGAGUAUACAAAAGAAGGCAUUGAUUGGAGUUAUGUCAAUUUUAUUGAUAAUCAGGAUAUCUUAGAUCUAAUUGAGAAGAAACCUGGUGGAAUUAUUGCUCUACUCGAUGAGGCCUGCAUGUUUCCGAGAUCCACUCAUGAAACCUUCUGUGAGAAGCUCUAUCAGUCAUUCAAGUCAAACAAACGAUUCAUCAGGCCAAAAUUGACACGAACUGACUUUACGAUUGUCCACUAUGCAGGGGAGGUCCAAUAUCAAUCCGAGCAAUUUCUGGACAAAAAUAAAGAUUAUAUUGUCGCUGAACAUCAAGAUUUGUUAACAUCUUCAAAGUGUCCUUUUGUGGCGAGCCUUUUUCCCCCACUUGUAGAGGAGACAACAAAAACUUCAAAAUUUUCAACUCUUGGUGCUCGUUUCAAGCUACAAUUACAACAAUUGAUGGAUACUCUAAAUUCUACAGAGCCCCACUAUAUUCGAUGUGUGAAGCCGAAUGAUGAAUUAAAACCUUUACUCUUUGAUAACGUCAAUGUGACGCAACAACUACGAUCGGGUGGUGUGCUUGAAGCCAUUAGAAUUAAAUGUGCGGGAUAUCCUACUCACAAGUCAUUUCAUGAAUUUGUACGUCGAUUUAGUAUUCUUGCACCACAAGUACACGAAGAGCCUUAUGACGAAAAGGAAGUGUGCAAGUUGAUUUUAGACAGAGUGGGACUCACAGGCUUUCAGGUAGGACAAACAAAAGUGUUUUUAAGAGCUGGUCAAAUGGCUGAGUUAGAUUCUCGACGAGCCGAAGCACUUAGUGAUUCAGCAAAGGUUAUUCAACGGCAAAUUAGGAGACACAUGGCCCGCAAGAAAUACAAUACAAUGCGGAAGAGUUCAAUCCACGUACAGUCAAUGUGGAGAGGAAAAUUGGCUUGUAAGUUGCUGGAGAAGAUGAGGAAAGCUACAGCAGCUACAAAGAUACAAAAGUAUUCCCGUGGUUAUCUAGCAAAAAUAGCAUAUGAGAAACUCAAAUUCGCAGCAAUUGUAUUGCAAACAGCUUCACGCACAAUUGCAGCUCGAAAUGAUUUUAUCUAUAGAAGACAACGUAGAGCAGCAAUCAUGAUCCAGUGUUGUUGGCGUCGUCAUAGAGAUUACGCAUACUUCAAGCAACUUAAGAAAACUUCAAAGGUCCUACAAUGCAGACUUAAGGGGAAAUUUGCAUCCUCAAAAGCACAAAGAAAGGCUACGGAAGAACGAAGACCAAAUCAAGAACGAGAAUUGCUCGAUGAAAAUGUGGAGGAACUUUCAUCAAUUUCAGAAUUGAAAAGUAAUUAUGAGGUACAAGCUGACACUGAAGAUGCAAAGGCUCGAGAGAUAGAGCGGCUACAAAAUUCAUUACAAGCUAUGCGCGAGAAAGUUGAUGAAGCAACUGCAUUGCUUUUUAAUGAACGAGAAAUAGCACAGAAAAUACUAGAAGAUGCACGCCAAUUGAUGAAUCCUGUUAAAGAUUCCAUUCAUGAUACUGAAACCAUUAAGACGCUACAUCUAGAAGUAGAAAAUUUGAAGAAAUUGCUGCAACGGGAAAGGCAAAGAGCUGAUGACAUAGAAAGAAAGUACAUGAAAGCUCAGGAAACGAAUGAAGAACAACGUAUGAAGUUAGAAGAUGCCGAAAGAAAAGUCCAUCAACUACAGGAUUACCUGACCAGUGUGCCUCAGGAUGUUAUCAUGCGUGUCAGACCAAAUGGCAGAGUUGAAAUUUAUCUUGAGUACAUCAAGCUCGAGUUCUAUUACUAAAGACAAUCAAGAUGAGGGUGUUUCUUUCUUAUCGGAUACUUCUUCUAGCGACUCCGAUUUCACUUUCCCUGCUCCAAUUUCAAGUUCAGUGACUUUAUCUCCAUUUCAACAAGAAUCUCUGCAAUUGCUAGUUCAAGACAUUUCAACAACAGAAAUUGGAGGAUCCAAAAGUUCAGAAAGUGAAAAGGAGCGUGCAUUUGAUGAUUUCUUUUAAAAUGCCCAAGGAGUUUGAUGAAGCAUUUUCCCCUUGCUAUUUGUGUAUGAAUACAAGAACUUCAAUUAAUGUUUGUAGAGAUAAAACUUAGCUAGUUAAAAAAUAUAUAUAACAAUGUAUUUGCAAGUUCAAAUUUUAGAUGCAUACUUACUAUAUAAGCAUAAGUUGCUUUUAGAA